This 491-nucleotide ribosomal RNA is filed under the name uncultured bacterium. RNAcentral describes it as "bacterial SSU rRNA". It matches the Rfam family "Bacterial small subunit ribosomal RNA", at positions 48 to 518 of the family's 1533-position model. The record is from RNAcentral.
UUAACACAUGCAAGUCGAACGCGAAAGGGACUUCGGUCCUGAGUAAAGUGGCGCACGGGUGAGUAACGCGUAGAUAACCUGUCUUCAUGUCUGGAAUAAUACGCCGAAAGGGGUACUAAUACCGGAUAUUCUUGCUUUUCAUAAGUUAUGCAAGCAAAGGUGGCCUCUGCAUAUGCUACUGCAUGAAGAGGGGUCUGCGUACCAUUAGCUAGUAGGUGGGGUAAUGGCCUACCUAGGCGACGAUGGUUAGCGGGUCUGAGAGGAUGAUCCGCCACACUGGCACUGGAACACGGGCCAGACUCCUACGGGAGGCAGCAGUGAGGAAUAUUGCGCAAUGGGGGAAACCCUGACGCAGCGACGCCGCGUGAGUGAGGAAAGGCCUUCGGGUCGUAAAGCUCUGUCAAGAGGAAAGAAGUGUACAAUGGCUAAUACCUGUUGUAUUUGACGGUACCUCUAAAGGAAGCACCGGCUAACUCCGUGCCAGCAGCUGC